ACAAUGGGCGCAAGCCUGAUGCAGCCAUGCCGCGUGUAUGAAGAAGGCCUUCGGGUUGUAAAGUACUUUCAGCAGUGAGGAAGGUGGAUAUGUUAAUAGCAUAUUCAUUUGACGUUUAGCUGCAGAAGAAGCACCGGCUAACUCCGUGCCAGCAGCCGCGGUAAUACGGAGGGUGCGAGCGUUAAUCGGAAUUACUGGGCGUAAAGCGCAUGCAGGUGGUUUGUUAAGUCAGAUGUGAAAGCCCGGGGCUCAACCUCGGAAUUGCAUUUGAAACUGGCAAACUAGAGUACUGUAGAGGGGGUAGAAUUUCAGGUGUAGCGGUGAAAUGCGUAGAGAUCUGAAGGAAUACCGGUGGCGAAGGCGGCCCCCUGGACAGAUACUGACACUCAGAUGCGAAAGCGUGGGGAGCAAACAGGAUUAGAUACCCUGGUAG
Molecule: ribosomal RNA, 433 nt
Filed under: uncultured bacterium
Lineage: Bacteria
Description: bacterial SSU rRNA
Rfam family: Bacterial small subunit ribosomal RNA
Source: RNAcentral